Molecule: unclassified non-coding RNA, 515 nt
Filed under: Geobacillus stearothermophilus
Lineage: Bacteria; Bacillati; Bacillota; Bacilli; Caryophanales; Anoxybacillaceae
Description: 16S-23S ribosomal RNA intergenic spacer
Source: RNAcentral
AAGGGGAAAAGCGAAGGCCGCCCGCCUAUCGGCGAAACGCGCUGGAGGGCCUGCGAGGAGGCUGUUGCCGCCGCAGCAGGACCGAAGCGUCGCGAGCCGAUGGCGGCCGGAGCUAGACAGGACGAAAAGCGGAGGCGAGCGUUUCGCCGCGAUGGGCAAAUGUUCUUCGCCUAGAGGGAUGUUUACAUCCCGAAGGCGAAGGUUAUUUGACCCCGAGCGGCGGCGAGCCGGAGCUAGACAAUUCGAAAAGCGGAGGCCGCAAUGGCCAACUGUCGAUACACAGCGCUUUCGUUUCGUUCGGUUUUGAGGGAAUGAGAAAUUCCUUCAAAAGCGCCUGUGCCUGCGUCUGCUAGCAGGUUCGGGGAAGUAGCUUCGUUUGCGUCUGCGUCUACAAGCGGAUUCGGAGAAGCCGAAUUCCUCGACGCAAGACUGCAGAGAAGCAAAUUCAAGAAGCAGUCUCGUUCCUUGAAAACUAGAUAACCGGAAACGCAAAGGAAGAAGCCGAGAGCGCUGUA